This 109-nucleotide ribosomal RNA is filed under the name Caerostris extrusa. The record is from RNAcentral. Lineage: Eukaryota; Metazoa; Arthropoda; Arachnida; Araneae; Araneidae.
AACGGCCAUACCAUGCUGAAUAUACCGGUUCUCGUUAGAUCACCGAAGUCAAGCAUCAUUGGGCGCGGUCAGUACUUGGGUGGGUGACCACCUGGGAACACCGUUGCCG